CCCUUAGAUGUUCUGGGCCGCACGCGCGCUACACUGAUGCAUUCAACGAGCACCCGCUGGGCCGAGAGGUCCGGCUAAUCUUUGAACGUGCAUCGUGCUGGGGAUAGAUGAUUGCAAUUAUUCAUCUUCAACGAGGAAUUCCUAGUAAACGCAAGUCAUCAGCUUGCAUUGAUUACGUCCCUGCCCUUUGUACACACCGCCCGUCGCACCUACCGAUUGAAUGGUCCGGUGAAAUUCUCGGACGUGGACUUGCGAUGUUAAUUCGGAGCUUGACUGUGAAAGUUAAUUAAACCUUACCAUUUAGAGGAAGGUGAAGUCGUAACA
This 324-nucleotide ribosomal RNA is filed under the name uncultured eukaryote. RNAcentral's name for it is "partial 18S ribosomal RNA". It matches the Rfam family "Eukaryotic small subunit ribosomal RNA", at positions 1470 to 1796 of the family's 1831-position model. The record is from RNAcentral.